Molecule: transfer RNA, 74 nt
Organism: Pterocles gutturalis (yellow-throated sandgrouse)
Lineage: Eukaryota; Metazoa; Chordata; Aves; Pterocliformes; Pteroclidae
Rfam family: tRNA
About the family: Transfer RNA (tRNA) molecules are approximately 80 nucleotides in length. Their secondary structure includes four short double-helical elements and three loops (D, anti-codon, and T loops).
Source: Rfam
GUCUCUGUGGUGCAAUCGGUUAGCGCGUUCAGCUGUUAACCAAAAGGUUGGUGGUUCAAGCCCGUCCAGAGACG